Molecule: ribosomal RNA, 253 nt
Filed under: uncultured bacterium
Lineage: Bacteria
Description: partial 16S ribosomal RNA
Rfam family: Bacterial small subunit ribosomal RNA
Source: RNAcentral
CACGUAGGGCGCAAGCGUUGUCCGGAAUUAUUGGGCGUAAAGAGCGCGCAGGCGGUCUAUCAAGUCAGAUGUGAAAUAUCCCGGCUUAACCGGGAGGGGUCAUUUGAAACUGGUAGACUAGAGUACAGCAGAGGAUAGCGGAAUUCCCGGUGUAGUGGUGAAAUGCGUAGAUAUCGGGAGGAACACCAGUGGCGAAGGCGGCUAUCUGGGCUGAAACUGACGCUGAGGCGCGAAGGCUAGGGGAGCAAACAGG